This 253-nucleotide ribosomal RNA is filed under the name uncultured bacterium. Its description in RNAcentral is "partial 16S ribosomal RNA". It matches the Rfam family "Bacterial small subunit ribosomal RNA", at positions 524 to 776 of the family's 1533-position model. The record is from RNAcentral.
UACGAAGGGGGCUAGCGUUGUUCGGAAUCACUGGGCGUAAAGGGCGCGUAGGCGGCCGAUCAAGUCGGGGGUGAAAGCCUGUGGCUCAACCACAGAAUUGCCUUCGAUACUGUUUGGCUUGAGACCGGAAGAGGUAAGUGGAACUGCGAGUGUAGAGGUGAAAUUCGUAGAUAUUCGCAAGAACACCGGUGGCGAAGGCGGCAUCCUGGACCGGCAUUGACGCUGAGGCGCGAAAGCCAGGGGAGCAAACGGG